Molecule: transfer RNA, 67 nt
Filed under: Schistosoma mansoni
Lineage: Eukaryota; Metazoa; Platyhelminthes; Trematoda; Strigeidida; Schistosomatidae
Source: RNAcentral
AGCCACAUAGAUUGGGAGAACGAAGUGAAAGACUGAGAUAUCUACCUACGAUAGUUCAGCAGAAUGG